RNAcentral lists this small nuclear RNA (164 nucleotides) under Salmo salar (Atlantic salmon). Its description in RNAcentral is "U1 spliceosomal RNA (ENSSSAG00000085881.1)". It matches the Rfam family "U1 spliceosomal RNA". Rfam says of the family: U1 is a small nuclear RNA (snRNA) component of the spliceosome (involved in pre-mRNA splicing). Lineage: Eukaryota; Metazoa; Chordata; Actinopteri; Salmoniformes; Salmonidae. The record is from RNAcentral.
AUACUUACCUGGCAAGGGAGACACCGUGAUCAAGAAGGCGGUUCACCCAGGGCGAGGCUCAGCCAUUGCACUCCGGCUGUGCUGACCCCUGCGAAUUUCCCAAAUGUGGAAAUCUCGAUUGCAUAAUUUCUGGUAGUGGGUGACUGCGUUCGCGCUCUCCCCUG